GACGAACGCUGGCGGCGUGCCUAAUACAUGCAAGUAGAACGCACAGUUUAUACCGUAGCUUGCUACACCAUAGACUGUGAGUUGCGAACGGGUGAGUAACGCGUAGGUUACCUGCCUGGUAGCGGGGGAUAACUAUUGGAAACGAUAGCUAAUAACGCAUAAUAUUAAUUAAUGCAUGAUAAUUAAUUGAAAGGUGCAAUUGCACCCCUACCAGAUGGACCUGCGGUGGAUUAGCUAGUAGGUGAGGUAACGGCUCACCUAGGCGACGGUACAUAGCCGACCUGGGAGGGUGAUCGGCCACACUGGGACUGAGACACGGCCCAGACUCCUACGGGAGGCAGCAGUAGGGAAUCUUCGGCAAUGGACGAAAGUCUGACCGAGCAACGCCGCGUGAGUGAAGAAGGUUUUCGGAUCGUAAAGCUCUGUUGUAAGAGAAGAACGGGUGUGAGAGUGGAAAGUUCACACUGUGACGGUAUCUUACCAGAAAGGGACGGCUAACUACGUG
RNAcentral lists this ribosomal RNA (505 nucleotides) under uncultured bacterium. RNAcentral's name for it is "partial 16S ribosomal RNA". It matches the Rfam family "Bacterial small subunit ribosomal RNA", at positions 28 to 507 of the family's 1533-position model. The record is from RNAcentral.